UUUUUUUUUUUGUGAUUGGAAAAUGAAUCGUGAUUUAAAAGAAAAAUGGGUCUAAAUGGGACUUUUGAAAAUGCGACGAUUUGACCCAAGAAAAUAGUCGGCACAAAGGGUUUUUUUUAUAAUGAAAAAUGGGAGUCGGCCACACUAUGGAUAUAGAAGUUAGGGUUGUACCAAAGUCAACCCAAAAAGUGAAUUUUUAAGGAAAACUAAAGAAACCUUCUGAAGCAUGGAUCCUAGUCCACGCAAUGACAAAGAAAAAAGGUUCGGUGGAUGUCACAUUUGACGGGGAAGGGGAAGGACAAGGAUAAAAAUCCAAGGCACCCUUGACAGGCUUAGCCAAGGCUGGUUGGCGUGGAUUUAAUCAAGAGAUUUUCUUGUUUUAACGCAAAGAGAUUUAUUAGCAUUUGAUGCUUACUAUCAAGAAUGCAAACCGCUAGACCUAGGGGUAUUGGGGGAAAUUUCUCUUCAAAGGUUGAGUGGUGCCACUCACAUUAAUUGUGAAGCCCAAUAACGAUCCUUUGAAGAAGUCACGAAUAAUGCGAGUGGGAUGCAAAUGAAGGGAAUGCAUGUAUGCAAUGUGAAGGCAUGAGUUUGAAAAAGUAAUAAAAAACAAAGAUGCAUAAGUGAAAAUGUGCACGUGAGUGGGCAAGGUAUGGUAUGUGCAAUGGUAAUAUGAAUUGUAUGUGUGCAAGUGAUGAUAAAAAAGUGUUAGUGUGCAAGUGAAGGGAUAAAGAGAUGCACGUGUGCAAAUGAAGAAACAUAAAGGUGUACGUGUGCAAAAUGGGAGGAAAAAUGAAAGUGUGAUGAGGGUAUAAAAUGGUGGAGUGGAUGCAUGAACCUAGGGAAUGUAUGCAUAUUGGGUACGGGGAGACCUAAAUCGUGACUCAAUUUGCCCUUUUGUAGAGGGAAUACAAGCGUGCUAAGGCUUAGAAAAAGCCACACUCGUCUAUAUUCCAUAUUUAAGGGGACUCUCAAGCAAAUGAACCCUAUAGCUAGCAUGAAAUGCAAAAGUCCUAAAAUUGAGGGAAAAGGGGUUCGAGGGGCAUGCAAAAAUGAUAAAACUAAAAAGAAUGCAUGACAUGUGAUGAACAUGCAAACAUGUACUAACGAGGGGAAAUCCCUAAGGGUCUAGCGUUGGACUAGCCCAUUCUAUGAAUUCCGACUAGCAUUGGACUAGUGGAAACGGAACAAUGAACCACAACUAGCGUUGGACUAGUGUGGUGACGGGAAAGGGGACCACAACUAGCAUUGGACUAGUGUGGUGACGUCCA
Molecule: long non-coding RNA, 1271 nt
Filed under: Coffea arabica (coffee)
Lineage: Eukaryota; Viridiplantae; Streptophyta; Magnoliopsida; Gentianales; Rubiaceae
Description: long non-coding RNA (CARA_LNC008136)
Source: RNAcentral